UGCCAGCCGCCGCGGUAAUACGGAGGGAGCGAGCGUUAAUCGGAAUUACUGGGCGUAAAGCGCGCGUAGGCGGCUUUGUAAGUCGGAUGUGAAAGCCCAGGGCUCAACCCUGGAAUUGCAUUCGAUACUGCAUGGCUAGAGUAUGGUAGAGGGAAGUGGAAUUUCCGGUGUAGCGGUGAAAUGCGUAGAGAUGUGGAGGAAUACCAGUGGCGAAGGCGGCCCCCUGGAUCGAUACUGACGCUGAGGUGCGAAAGCGUGGGGAGCAAACAGGAUUAGAUA
This 279-nucleotide ribosomal RNA is filed under the name uncultured bacterium. RNAcentral describes it as "partial 16S ribosomal RNA". It matches the Rfam family "Bacterial small subunit ribosomal RNA", at positions 506 to 784 of the family's 1533-position model. The record is from RNAcentral.